This 31-nucleotide non-coding RNA is filed under the name Homo sapiens (human). Lineage: Eukaryota; Metazoa; Chordata; Mammalia; Primates; Hominidae. The record is from RNAcentral.
AAGAGCUGUAACACUUGCCGUGAAGGUCUGC